GAUGAACGCUGGCGGCGUGCCUAAUACAUGCAAGUCGAACGCUGGAGCUCUAGCUUGCUAGAUCGAAGGAGUGGCGAACGGGUGAGUAAUACAUAAGCAACCUACCCACGAAGACUGGGAUAAUCUCUGGAAACGGGGACUAAUACCGGAUAGGUAAUCGGAAGGCAUCUUCUGGUUAUUAAAGGUUAAAAACACUGGUGGAUGGGCUUAUGGCGCAUUAGUUAGUUGGUGAGGUAACGGCCCACCAAGACGAUGAUGCGUAGCCGGCCUGAGAGGGUGAACGGCCACAUUGGGACUGAGACACGGCCCAGACUCCUACGGGAGGCAGCAGUAGGGAAUUGUCGGCAAUGGGGGCAACCCUGACCGAGCAACGCCGCGUGAGUGAAGACGGCCUUCGGGUUGUAAAGCUCUGUUGUAAGGGAAGAACGGUAGAUAGAGAAUAUCUAAGUGACGGUACCUUACCAGAAAGCCACGGCUAACUACGUG
RNAcentral lists this ribosomal RNA (486 nucleotides) under uncultured bacterium. RNAcentral describes it as "partial 16S ribosomal RNA". It matches the Rfam family "Bacterial small subunit ribosomal RNA", at positions 28 to 507 of the family's 1533-position model. The record is from RNAcentral.